AGUGAACGCUGGCGGUAGGCCUAACACAUGCAAGUCGAACGGCAGCACAGUAAGAGCUUGCUCUUACGGGUGGCGAGUGGCGGACGGGUGAGGAAUACAUCGGAAUCUACUUUUUCGUGGGGGAUAACGUAGGGAAACUUACGCUAAUACCGCAUACGACCUACGGGUGAAAGCAGGGGAUCUUCGGACCUUGCGCGAUUGAAUGAGCCGAUGUCGGAUUAGCUAGUUGGCGGGGUAAAGGCCCACCAAGGCGACGAUCCGUAGCUGGUCUGAGAGGAUGAUGAGCCACACUGGAACUGAGACACGGGCCAGACUCCUGCGGGAGGCAGCAUUGGGGAAGAUUGGACAAUGGGCGCAAGCCUGAUCCAGCCAUACCGCGGGGGUGAAGAAGGCCUGCGAGUUGUAAAGCCCUUUUGUUGGGAAAGAAAAGCAGCAGGUUAAUACCCCGCUGUUCUGACGGUACCCAAAGAAUAAGCACCGGCUAACUUCUU
This 491-nucleotide ribosomal RNA is filed under the name uncultured bacterium. Its description in RNAcentral is "partial 16S ribosomal RNA". It matches the Rfam family "Bacterial small subunit ribosomal RNA", at positions 29 to 506 of the family's 1533-position model. The record is from RNAcentral.